CAUUGCCUUUUUGUUUUUGUUCUGUAGGGUGAUUACACCCACUGUGCAGAUGGGCAUGCUGAAUGACCUUUAAGGUGCUAGUUAAUUACGAACUCAACUCUAGUUCUCCUUUUUUCAAAAUCAGAUUUCCUCUCAAAUCCCAUCCUGCUUCUCCAUUCUAUUAAAGUGCCUGGAGAUCUCCUUCCCUCACACUGUUUAAAAUCAUGCCUCAGAUCUCACCACAGGGAAAUGAAGACUUCACAAU
This 244-nucleotide long non-coding RNA is filed under the name Homo sapiens (human). RNAcentral's name for it is "HSALNT0162582". Lineage: Eukaryota; Metazoa; Chordata; Mammalia; Primates; Hominidae. The record is from RNAcentral.